This is a non-coding RNA of Acanthosepion pharaonis, 113 nucleotides long. Lineage: Eukaryota; Metazoa; Mollusca; Cephalopoda; Sepiida; Sepiidae. The record is from the annotation of a GenBank genome assembly.
UUAUGGCCAUAUCAUGUUGAAACACCAGUUCCCUGUAUGAUCACUGAAGUUAAGCAAUCGAGCCUGGUUAGUACCUAGAUAGGUGACCACGUGGGAAUACCAGUUGCUGUAAG